Molecule: ribosomal RNA, 496 nt
Filed under: uncultured bacterium
Lineage: Bacteria
Description: partial 16S ribosomal RNA
Rfam family: Bacterial small subunit ribosomal RNA
Source: RNAcentral
GAUGAACGCUGGCGGCGUGCCUAAUACAUGCAAGUCGAGCGAACGGACGAGAAGCUUGCUUCUCUGAUGUUAGCGGCGGACGGGUGAGUAACACGUGGAUAACCUACCUAUAAGACUGGAUAACUUCGGGAAACCGGAGCUAAUACCGGAUAAUAUUUUGAACCGCAUGGUUCAAAAGUAAAAGACGGUCUUGCUGUCACUUAUAGAUGGAUCCGCGCUGCAUUAGCUAGUUGGUAAGGUAACGGCUUACCAAGGCAACGAUGCAUAGCCGACCUGAGAGGGUGAUCGGCCACACUGGAACUGAGACACGGUCCAGACUCCUACGGGAGGCAGCAGUAGGGAAUCUUCCGCAAUGGGCGAAAGCCUGACGGAGCAACGCCGCGUGAGUGAUGAAGGUCUUCGGAUCGUAAAACUCUGUUAUUAGGGAAGAACAUAUGUGUAAGUAACUGUGCACAUCUUGACGGUACCUAAUCAGAAAGCCACGGCUAACUACGUG